RNAcentral lists this ribosomal RNA (2915 nucleotides) under sediment metagenome. Its description in RNAcentral is "bacterial LSU rRNA". It matches the Rfam family "Archaeal large subunit ribosomal RNA". The record is from RNAcentral.
CCAGUUGUUACGCCAUUUGGUGGAUUGCUCGGCUCGAGUGCUGAAGAAGGUCGUGCCAAGCCGCGAUAUUACUCCGUGUAGGCGCAAGGAGCCUUUGAUGCGGAGAUAACCUAAUGGGAAUCCCACCACUUUUGUGGUACUCACUUAUGUGAGGAGGAACCUGCCGAAUUGAAACAUCUAAGUAGGCAGAGGAAAAGAAAUCAAUAGAGAUUGGGUUAGUAAAGGCGAUCGAACACCCAACAGGGCAAACCGAAUCCCCUAGCGACGAACUAGGGGACAUGUGGAGUUUGGACUCAUUUACUCCCAAACUGGCAAACUCGAAGUCCUCUGGAAAGAGGUACCAUAGAGGGUGAUAGUCCUGUAGAGGUAAACCAGUGGAAGAUUUUUGAGUAUCCAGAGUAGCGUGCGUUGGAUAUCGCGCGUGAAUAUGGGAGGCAUAAACUUCCAACCCUAAAUACAACUCGAGACCGAUAGCGUAGUAGUAGCGUGAGUGAAAGUUGCAAAGUACCCCUUGCGGGAGGUGCAAAGAGCAUGAAAUCAAAUGGUUACAGACUGAUAAGGCAUUAAAGCAACGAAACCGAAAGGUGGAGCAGUGUCUUAUCGUCCGUUUCGAAAAAUGGGCCAGGGAGUUCCUGGUAAUGGCGAGGUUAAGGGUGAAGAACCUGAAACCAUAGCGAAAGCAAAUGUCCGCAGGCAACAAGGGACUAGGUGUGCUCGCCUGUAGUCAUUACCUCGAGACCCGAAGCCAGUCGAUCUAUGCGUGGUCAGGUUGAAGCCCUGUGAAAACGGGGUGGAGGACCGAACCGGUGCUGAUGUGCAAAUCGCUCGGAUGAGCUGCGUAUAGGGGCAAAAGACCAAUCUAGACUGGCAAUAGCUGGUUCCCCCCGAGACUACUCGUAGGUAGAUCUCUGAUGAGAUGGAUCGUGAGGUAGAGCACUAAUUGGGCAUUUAGGGGAAGAAAUUCCUCGGUGUCUUGUUAAACUCCGAAUGUGCGAUCAUCGUAGAAUCAGGGUAGUGAGGGCAUCUGGGGUAAGCUUGAUGUCCAAAAGGGAAACAACCCAGCCUUAUGUUAAGGUCCCAAAGUACUAGCUCAGUGUCAUAGAACAAAGAGUGUUUAUGACCUCAGACAACCAGGAGGUUGGCUUAGAAGCAGCCAUCCUUUAAAGAAAGCGUAACAGCUCACUGGUCGAGGUUGUAUGCCUUGAAAAUGGACGGGGCUAAGCUAGUCACCGAUACAUAAGCACUCCCAAAAGGAGAUUGAGUAGGGGGGCGUCGUGCGUGGGUAGAAGUUUGGCCGUGAGGUCAAGUGGACCGCGUUCGAACGAGAAUCCUGGCAAAAGUAGCAGCUAAAGUAGAGUGAGAAUCUCUACCACCGAAAGGGCUAGGGUUCCUCGACGAUGAUCAUCAGUCGAGGGUUAGUCGGUCCUAAGGCUUGUCUUAAACGAACAAGUCGAAAGGGAAACAGGUUAAUAUUCCUGUACUUAUCAUAUAUUUGCUUAAAUUUCAACGCAUUCGGGUAGAUCUUGCAGAUUUGUCUGUCUGUUCAAGCGUAUUAAGUUGAGGAAGUACCGUAAUGGUGAGAACUUGACCAAAGCGUGAUGAGUCUACCAAUUUUUGGUGGAUAAGAUUUAUCCCAAGUGCCCGUGAAAAGGAAUUUAAGAUGUAAUAUGGUAAUCCGUACCGAGAACUGACACAGGUGUCUCUAGCUGAGAAGGCUAAGGUGUAUCGGAUUAAUUGAGGCAAGGGAACUCGGCAAAUUAGCCCCGUACCUUCGGUAUAAGGGGUGCCUGCUUUGUAGAAAGCAGGUCUCAGUAACUAGGGCGCUCCGACUGUUUAGUAAAAACACAGGAGACCGCAAGUCCGAAAGGAUGUGUAUGGUCGCCGAAUCCUGCCCAGUGACGGUAUCUGAAAACCUCAUUCAAGGGGAAGAAGGACCGUUAAACGGCGGGGGUAACCAUGACCCUCUUAAGGUAGCGUAAUACCUUGCCGCUUAAUUGGCGGCUUGCAUGAGUGGCUUAACGAGAGCGCUACUGUCCCUGCCUUGAGCCCGGUGAAAUUGACUUACUGGCGCACAGUCCAGUACCUUCUAGAAGGAAGCGAAGACCCCGUGGAGCUUUACUACAGCCUGUCGUUGUGAUACGGUUUUAAAUGUAGAGCGUAGGUGGGAGCCAUCGAAGCCUAGACGCCAGUUUAGGUGGAGGCGACAAUGUAACACCACCCUUUUUUGACCGCGUCACUAACUUUAACUAGGACACCGAUAGGUGGGUAGUUUGGGUGGGGCGCCACACGCUCGAAAAGGUAUCAAGCGUGCCCAAAGGUCACCUCAGAGAGGUCAGAAAUCUCUCGUAGAAUGCAAGGGUAAAAGGUGGCUUUACACGGAUUGGAACAAUAACAAUCCGCGUUGCGAAAGCAGGGCCUAGCGAACCAAUCAACCUCCUUUAUGGGGGUGAUUGAUAACAGAAAAGUUACCCCGGGGAUAACUGAGUUGUCUUCAGUAAGAGCCCAUAUCGACCUGAAGGCUUGCUACUUCGAUGUCGUCUCUCCGCAUCCUGGCGGUGCAGCAGCUGCCAAGGGUGGGGUUGUUCGCCCAUUAAAGCGGAUCGUGAGAUGGGUUUAGACCGUCGUGAGACAGGUUUGUUGCUAUCUUCUAGAAGCGUUGAUGCUUGAGGGGAAAGGCCCUUUAGUACGAGAGGAACAGGGGCCUGCAGCCACUAGUUUACCAGUUGUCCGACAGGGCAAUGCUGGGCAGCCACGCUGUACGAGAUAAAUGCUGAAAGCAUCUAAGCAUGAAGCUCACCCUAAGACGAGGCAUCAUAGAGCUCGAAUAUAAGAUUCGUUUGAUAGGGCUAAGGUGUAAGCAUGAAGCUUCGGCGACAUGUUCAGCCUGUAGCUACUAAUCGCUCGUUUGCUGGCUC